Molecule: ribosomal RNA, 694 nt
Filed under: Burkholderia sp. Z28_1
Lineage: Bacteria; Pseudomonadati; Pseudomonadota; Betaproteobacteria; Burkholderiales; Burkholderiaceae
Description: bacterial SSU rRNA
Rfam family: Bacterial small subunit ribosomal RNA
Source: RNAcentral
UAACAUGCAAGUCGAACGGCAGCACGGGGGCAACCCUGGUGGCGAGUGGCGAACGGGUGAGUAAUACAUCGGAACGUGUCCUGUAGUGGGGGAUAGCCCGGCGAAAGCCGGAUUAAUACCGCAUACGCUCUACGGAGGAAAGGGGGGGAUCUUAGGACCUCCCGCUACAGGGGCGGCCGAUGGCAGAUUAGCUAGUUGGUGGGGUAAAGGCCUACCAAGGCGACGAUCUGUAGCUGGUCUGAGAGGACGACCAGCCACACUGGGACUGAGACACGGCCCAGACUCCUACGGGAGGCAGCAGUGGGGAAUUUUGGACAAUGGGGGCAACCCUGAUCCAGCAAUGCCGCGUGUGUGAAGAAGGCCUUCGGGUUGUAAAGCACUUUUGUCCGGAAAGAAAACGCCGUGGUUAAUACCCGUGGCGGAUGACGGUACCGGAAGAAUAAGCACCGGCUAACUACGUGCCAGCAGCCGCGGUAAUACGUAGGGUGCAAGCGUUAAUCGGAAUUACUGGGCGUAAAGCGUGCGCAGGCGGUCCGCUAAGACAGAUGUGAAAUCCCCGGGCUUAACCUGGGAACUGCAUUUGUGACUGGCGGGCUAGAGUAUGGCAGAGGGGGGUAGAAUUCCACGUGUAGCAGUGAAAUGCGUAGAGAUGUGGAGGAAUACCGAUGGCGAAGGCAGCCCCCCUGGGCCAAUA